RNAcentral lists this ribosomal RNA (569 nucleotides) under uncultured Gammaproteobacteria bacterium. RNAcentral describes it as "bacterial SSU rRNA". It matches the Rfam family "Bacterial small subunit ribosomal RNA", at positions 812 to 1381 of the family's 1533-position model. The record is from RNAcentral. Lineage: Bacteria; Pseudomonadati; Pseudomonadota; Gammaproteobacteria.
UCGAUUUGGAGUUUGUUGCCUUGAGUGAUGGGCUCCGAAGCUAACGCGAUAAAUCGACCGCCUGGGGAGUACGGCCGCAAGGUUAAAACUCAAAUGAAUUGACGGGGGCCCGCACAAGCGGUGGAGCAUGUGGUUUAAUUCGAUGCAACGCGAAGAACCUUACCUGGUCUUGACAUCCACAGAAUCUUGCAGAGAUGCGAGAGUGCCUUCGGGAACUGUGAGACAGGUGCUGCAUGGCUGUCGUCAGCUCGUGUUGUGAAAUGUUGGGUUAAGUCCCGCAACGAGCGCAACCCUUAUCCUUUGUUGCCAGCGAUUCGGUCGGGAACUCAAAGGAGACUGCCGUUGAUAAAGCGGAGGAAGGUGGGGACGACGUCAAGUCAUCAUGGCCCUUACGACCAGGGCUACACACGUGCUACAAUGGCGUAUACAAAGGGAGGCGACCUCGCGAGAGCAAGCGGACCUCACAAAGUACGUCUAAGUCCGGAUUGGAGUCUGCAACUCGACUCCAUGAAGUCGGAAUCGCUAGUAAUCGUGAAUCAGAAUGUCACGGUGAAUACGUUCCCGGGCCU